UUUUCCAGCAUGCAUUCAACCGCAUCGUGUAAGCGUUAUUAUUGUUGGCGGUUUAUCAUUGGUCUCCGGAGCUUACAAGUCGUGGCUUAAAACUGCAUUAUACGGUACUUCGCGGUGGUCGUAAAGCGGUCUCUCGUCUCAUGAAAGCAUAGAAUAUUAAGCGAGAAGUAAAUACGCGAUGCGGUUAUAUAGAUGCAGCUUUUAUAUUGCAAUAUACACUUGUGUAUGUGUUGUACGCGCACGUAUGUAUGCCUAGAUACACAUGUAUAUAUACAUUCCUCCAGUCGAUUUUUCGGAACUGUCUCUGAUCAUGCAGAGCAACAUCUCGAAUCGAAUGCAAUCACAGCGUGAUAGCUGUACCAACGCUAUUAUUGCCGCAGAAUAUGAUAAGCAUGGUAGCUAUCGGUUUGUGGGUAAUGGUAAUUACGCAGAGAGCCCUAAGGCAACGAGGGAGAUGGCAACAAUACUCCGCGCUUGGGGUGAUGCAGAGCUAUUAGCUUCGAAUCUGAUAGCCAUAAUUAUGCUCACGUCUCAGAUCUCGUUAUGUCUCGACUUGACAAUUGUAAUUGU
Camponotus floridanus (Florida carpenter ant) is the source of this 570-nucleotide long non-coding RNA. RefSeq lists it as uncharacterized. The record is from RefSeq and is a predicted model, not a curated record. The transcript is spliced from 3 exons. NCBI's taxonomy places the organism in Eukaryota, Metazoa, Arthropoda, Insecta, Hymenoptera, Formicidae.